UACGUAGGGUGCAAGCAUUGUCCGGAAUUAUUGGGCGUAAAGAGCUCGUAGGCGGCCUGUCGCGUCGGAUGUGAAAGCCCGGGGCUUAACCCCGGGUCUGCAUUCGAUACGGGCAGGCUGGAGUUCGGUAGGGGAGAUCGGAAUUCCUGGUGUAGCGGUGAAAUGCGCAGAUAUCAGGAGGAACACCGGUGGCGAAGGCGGAUCUCUGGACCAGUUCUGACACUGAUGAGCGAAAGCCAGGGGAGCAAACAGG
RNAcentral lists this ribosomal RNA (253 nucleotides) under uncultured bacterium. RNAcentral's name for it is "partial 16S ribosomal RNA". It matches the Rfam family "Bacterial small subunit ribosomal RNA", at positions 524 to 776 of the family's 1533-position model. The record is from RNAcentral.